This 253-nucleotide ribosomal RNA is filed under the name uncultured bacterium. Its description in RNAcentral is "partial 16S ribosomal RNA". It matches the Rfam family "Bacterial small subunit ribosomal RNA", at positions 524 to 776 of the family's 1533-position model. The record is from RNAcentral.
UACGAGUGCCUCGAGCGUUAUCCGGAAUUAUUGGGCGUAAAGAGCUCGUAGGCGGUUUGUCGCGUCUGCUGUGAAAACGCGAGGCUCAACCUCGCGCCUGCAGUGGGUACGGGCAGACUAGAGUGCGGUAGGGGAGAUUGGAAUUCCUGGUGUAGCGGUGAAAUGCGCAGAUAUCAGGAGGAACACCGGUGGCGAAGGCGGAUCUCUGGGCCUUACCUGACGCUGAGGCGCGAAAGCUAGGGGAGCGAACAGG